UAACAUGUCUCAAAUUGACUUGUGCACUUGGCUUGUUUAUGGUACGCCACCGCAACUGCGGCAGGAAUGCGCCACGGAUGCCAACGGCAAUAACUGGUUUGCAUUCGACACAUUAAUUAACUUUGCCCAAGGUGCACAAACGAGCCACAAGGCAGGCAAGGUGCAAACAGCAUGACUUAACUUUUUAGCCACUAAUGAUGCCCCUGCACAACCCCGACAGAAUGGCGGCCACGGCAAGCACACCCAACCGGGUGGAUACAGCCACUGGGCCGACUACAACCACCUGGUCUGGUCUGGGUUGACACUACUGCAAGAACUUUUUAGCCACUAAUGAUGCCCCUGCACAACCCUGACAGAAUGGCGGCCACGGCAAGCACACCCAACCGGGUGGAUACAGCCACUGGGCCGACUACAACCACCUGGUCUGGUCUGGGUUGACACUACUGCAAGUAGCGGUUUAAGGUCCUGGGUUCGAUUCCUGGGGAGACCCCCGAAUUAGUCGGGAGCGCGAGAUUAUGGCUAGCUGCUGAGAUUUGGAGUUGAGGUCACAUUUGAUGGACCAGAUUCGCACGCUGGAUUGGUGGCGAUUGCCGAACCCUCUGUCUCUUAGGGUGUUCGGGUGAAUGGAUGAGGAGGGGUCCCUGAAGGCUGGAUCCGCCGCCUUGGACUUACAGUUCGUAUGGCGAAGUACAGUGUGGUAGUGGUGGAUGGUGCUAUAAGGUGAUAAAUGAUCUAGAACUGACAAUGUGAUAAAGCGGCCCAGAAGCCUCCCACUCUGUAACAUUACAUUACAUUACAUCACAACCACCAAGGUGGCCGCUACGGAGGCCGCGGUGGCAGUUGUGGUGGCGCCUAUGGCGGCCGUGGCCGAGGCAGCAACAUGGAAAUGCCGACAUGGGUUCGGGAGAUGGUGAAGGAAAAGAACAUCUAUCAUUGUGGACAGCCCUUUGGCAAGGGCCACCACUGCGGCAAAUGGCGGCGUUACAACAAGGACCGCAAAAAAAAUGCGGUUGCCUAGGAAGUUGCCCACAUCAUAGCCUCAGGCAGCUCGUGUGGGGAGCCGAUGGACAUAGAGGAACCAACCCGGAAUCCACCAACGGUGGACUGUAGCCACUGUGUGCUUCGUUCAGUGUUUCUGCAUCUGCAGAAGGCCCCGGGUCGGGUGUUCGUGAUCGAUGCAUCCUGUAACAUAUGAAGCGAC
This 1201-nucleotide long non-coding RNA is filed under the name Volvox carteri. Its description in RNAcentral is "long non-coding RNA (VCAR_LNC003341)". The record is from RNAcentral. Lineage: Eukaryota; Viridiplantae; Chlorophyta; Chlorophyceae; Chlamydomonadales; Volvocaceae.